AGUGAUAUGUCUGAAUUAAAAGUAAUAAACUGUAAAUUUAUUUAUAAAUAUUUAAAAAAAUAUUUUUUCACUA
RNAcentral lists this transfer RNA (73 nucleotides) under Gasteruption parvicollarium. RNAcentral's name for it is "tRNA-Tyr". The record is from RNAcentral. Lineage: Eukaryota; Metazoa; Arthropoda; Insecta; Hymenoptera; Gasteruptiidae.